This is a long non-coding RNA of Quercus lobata, 409 nucleotides long. RefSeq lists it as uncharacterized. The record is from RefSeq and is a predicted model, not a curated record. NCBI's taxonomy places the organism in Eukaryota, Viridiplantae, Streptophyta, Magnoliopsida, Fagales, Fagaceae. The transcript has 3 exons.
AUUGAUAUAGGGAAAAUAAAUAAAAGAAGAGAUUAUUGGCCCAAUGAAUGAGGAAGAACAGUGCAAAGGAGAGUUGAGGCAUUGGAAAGCUAAUUUGUGGGUAAGCUUCUCACUUUGAUUGGUAAUUAUCCUGCAUUGGUGAAUAAAUUAUGAAAAAUUUAAUAGUUCAUAAAUUUAUAAAUUUAUUGUUUAUAAAAUUAUAAAAUUAUUGUUAGAUUGCUGAAUAAAUUGUCAAUCUUUGAUGUUUAUCAAUGCCACCUCCAAGAGGGUUGAGACCUUGGGAAUUGUUGAAUUCCCAAUACUAGGCCGCAUCAGUAAAUUUGCUAUUUCCUGGGAUUCUUUGAUUUGGUUUUGAUUAUGGAAUCUAUAGCAAUGUAUAGAUCUUUUGAAGUUGGAUAUUUGACUAUUA